Oryzias latipes (Japanese medaka) is the source of this 693-nucleotide non-coding RNA. The record is from RefSeq and is a predicted model, not a curated record. Lineage: Eukaryota; Metazoa; Chordata; Actinopteri; Beloniformes; Adrianichthyidae.
GGGAGAAACUCAUAUAAACUAAAGGAAAAUAAGGAAGACUUUUCCAACAGAUCAUAGAGCUUUUUGUGGAAAAGGAUCGGCAGACAGACUCAAAAACUGACAGCCCUGCAAAACCCCAACCUGCACGGACGGAAAAAAACAAAGACAAAGAUGAAUCUAUUUGCCUGUGCCGAAUACAAUUGAAUAGAUCUGCACUGCUUUUCUUCUGGCGUAACAUUACAAUUAACAGACCCUGAGUGAGGCUAAUCAGUGCUGUCAUCAGAUGCGCCGAACAAAGAAGAGGAGGAGACCACUGCAGGCCCAAGGUGCAUCUGUGGGGGAGGAGAGAGCUCUGCUGAUACUGGAUGAUGGCGCUCCUUGUCAAGUAUGGCUCUCAGAGACUAAUGGGUGGAAAAAAGGGUUGACUCAAACACUGAGGGGAGAUCUCAUGCGCUGUAGAAGAUUUGCGUGCAGCUCCUGUGUGUGCAAAGACAAUUAGGGGAUGAAGCCUCGGACUGAUGGAAGUGGAGGAAAUGCUUACGGGAAAGAAGCUGCACUGUAAAGAGGAUAGAGAACUCAGCAAUGACAGGCGCACUUGUGGUGGGCCUUUCUGCCUCAUGGCUGGGUGGCAUUAAUUCCUGGCAUGGCUGUUCUUGGACUCUGUGGGGCUUCAGAAUCCUGUGGUUGCUCAGAUUCUUGUUUUGCCUGUAAUAA